UACGGGGGGAGCAAGCGUUGUUCGGAUUUACUGGGCGUAAAGGGCGCGUAGGCGGCCACGACAAGUCACUUGUGAAAUCUCCGGGCUUAACUCGGAAAGGUCAAGUGAUACUGUCGGGCUAGAGUGCAGAAGGGGCAACUGGAAUUCUCGGUGUAGCGGUGAAAUGCGUAGAUAUCGAGAGGAACACCUGCGGCGAAGGCGGGUUGCUGGGCUGACACUGACGCUGAAGCGCGAAAGCCAGGGGAGCGAACGGG
Molecule: ribosomal RNA, 254 nt
Filed under: uncultured bacterium
Lineage: Bacteria
Description: partial 16S ribosomal RNA
Rfam family: Bacterial small subunit ribosomal RNA
Source: RNAcentral